This 400-nucleotide ribosomal RNA is filed under the name uncultured bacterium. RNAcentral describes it as "bacterial SSU rRNA". It matches the Rfam family "Bacterial small subunit ribosomal RNA", at positions 355 to 770 of the family's 1533-position model. The record is from RNAcentral.
UUGGGAAUCUUGCACAAUGGGGGAAACCCUGAUGCAGCGACGCCGCGUGGAGGAUGAAGGAUCUAGGUCUGUAAACUCCUUUUUCAGGGAAAGACUUAGGACGGUACCCUGAGAAUAAGCUCCGGCUAACUACGUGCCAGCAGCCGCGGUAAGACGUAGGGAGCAAGCGUUGUCCGGAUUUACUGGGCGUAAAGAGCACGUAGGCGGCCUGUUAAGUGAGAAGUGAAAUCUUCAGCGCUCAACGCGAAAAUUGCUUUUCAUACUGGCAGGCUAGAGGGAUGCAGAGGCAAGUGGAAUUCCUGGUGUACCGGUGACAUGGAUUGAUAUCAGGAGGAACACCCGAGGCGAAGGCGGCUUGCUGGGCAUCAUCUGACGCUGAGGUGCGAAAGCGUGGGGAGCA